This 545-nucleotide ribosomal RNA is filed under the name uncultured bacterium. Its description in RNAcentral is "bacterial SSU rRNA". It matches the Rfam family "Bacterial small subunit ribosomal RNA", at positions 777 to 1317 of the family's 1533-position model. The record is from RNAcentral.
AAUAGAUACCCAGGUAGUCCACGCCGUAAACCGUUGGGCACUAGGUGUGGGGUCUAUUCAACGGACUCCGUGCCGUAGCUAACGCAUUAAGUGCCCCGCCUGGGGAGUACGGCCGCAAGGCUAAAACUCAAAGGAAUUGACGGGGGGCCCGCACAAGCAGCGGAGCAUGUUGCUUAAUUCGAGGCAACGCGAAGAACCUUACCUGGGUUUGACAUGUAGAGAAAAGCCAUAGAGAUAUGGUGUCCCUUCGGGGUUCUACACAGGUGGUGCAUGGUUGUCGUCAGCUCGUGUCGUGAGAUGUUGGGUUAAGUCCCGCAACGAGCGCAACCCUUGUCCUAUGUUGCCAGCACGUCAUGGUGGGGACUCGUAGGAGACUGCCGGGGUCAACUCGGAGGAAGGUGGGGACGACGGUCAAAUCAUCAUGCCCCUUAUAUCCAGGGCUGCAAACAUGCUACAAUGGCCGGUACAAAGGGCUGCGAAACCGCGAGGUGGAGCGAAGUCCCAUAAAGCCGGUCUCAGUUCGGAUUGGAGUCUGCAACUCGACU